This 3251-nucleotide long non-coding RNA is filed under the name Taeniopygia guttata (zebra finch). Its description in RNAcentral is "lncRNA (ENSTGUG00000026832.1)". The record is from RNAcentral. Lineage: Eukaryota; Metazoa; Chordata; Aves; Passeriformes; Estrildidae.
GCCGCCCUUGGCCGGGUUUGGGUAAUUUGGGAUUUGGGAUUUGGGAUUUGGGGGGGCGGGUCUGGCCGGGAGGAGGAGGAGGAGGAGGAGGAGGAGGAGGAGGAGGAGGAGGAGGUGACAGCGAUGCUGGUGGCGCUGGUGGCGCUGGUGGCGGUGGCGGCGGGGGGGGACACGGGGGUCCCGCCGACCCCCCCCCCGUGCCCGUUGGGGUUCGGGCCGGUGGCCGCGGGCGGCUGCGGGGACAGGGACGAAUGUCGCACGGCCGCCGUGUGCCACCACAUGUGCCUCAACCACCACGGCGGCUUCGCGUGUCACUGUCACCGCGGCUUCGUCCUGCAGCCCGACGGUGUCACCUGCCGCCGCCGCCGCCACCGGGGGCACCCCGGAACCCCCCCCCAGCGCCCCGGGGGACAGCGGGGACACCCCGGGACCCCCCCCCAGCGCCCCGGGACCCCUCCCCAGCGCCCCGGGACCCCUCCCCAGGCGGCACACCCGGAGCUGCCCGGGGGGACCGGGCGCGGUUGGAGCUCCCGGUGGGACCGGCGGCCGGACGGGACCGGCGGAGGUGAAGCCUCGGCCCGGGAUUCGGUACCGGAGCGGCACCGGAGCGGCUCGCGGGAGGAUUUGGACCGGGAUCCCCGCCCGGAUUCGGAUCCAGGCUCGGUUUGGGAUCCUCAGAGGAAUUUGGGUCCGGGAAGGCACCGGGAGCAGCGGCCAGGGCGGCACCGGGAUUGGGACCGGGAUUCGGACCGGGAUUGGGACCGGGAUCGCCGCCGGGAUGUGAACCGGGACUGGGACCGGGAUCUGAACCGGGAUUCGGACCGGGAUUGGGACCGGGAUCCCCGCCAGGAUGUGAACCGGGACUGGGACCGGGAUCUGAACUGGGAUUCGGACCGGGAUUGGGACCGGGAUUCGGACCGGGAUCCCCACCAGGAUCUGAACCGGGACUGGGACCGGGAUUCGGACCGGGAUUUGAACCGGGACUGGGACCGGGAUUCGGACCGGGAUUUGAACCGGGAUUUGAACCGGGACUGGGACCGGGAUUCGGACCGGGAUUCCCAGGAGGAUUCGCCCCCGGGAUGGCACCGGGGCUUGCACCGGGAUGUGCCUGAGGAUUCCCACCGGGACGUGCCCCCGGAGCGGCCCCGGGGCUCGCCCGGGGAUUGGAACCGGGAUCCCCACCGGGAUUCCCAUCAGGAUUUCCGUGAGGACUCCCAGCCCGCCGGGCAGCGGGGUUGGCACCGGGAUUUGCACCGGGAUUCGCACCGGGACCGGGAUCCGGGCUCGGCCCGGCCCCGGGAGCCGCACGGGGAUUCCCGGGAGGGUUUGCACCGGGAUUGGAACGGGAAUUCGCACCGGGACUCGCACAGGGAGCGGGGGCUGGGACCGCCCCGGCUCCGGGGGUGGCACCGGGGGUGGCACCGGGACUCCCCCGAGGGGUCCCACCGGGAUUUUCACCGGGAUUUUCCCCCUUCCCCCGCGCCCCCCUAUAGGAACGAGGACCCCGAUCCUUAUGGGGACCCCUAUGGGGACCCCGACACCUACGGGGACCCCUAUGGGGGUCCAGCCCCCCCCUAUAGGGCCGAGGACCCCGGGGAGGGGCCGUGGGACCCCGAAACGGAGCCCUGGGACCCCGACAUUUAUGGGGACCCCUACGGGGACCCCUACGAGGAUGAGGACCCCGAAGAGGAGCCCUGGGACCCCUCCCCACCCCCCUCGGACCCCUACAGGGACCCCGAGCCCGGGAGCCUCCGGAGGGGCCGGGACCCCCAAACCCGGCCCUGGGACCCCUAUGGGGACCCCCAAACACGGCCCUGGGACCCCCAGAGUGAUCCCGGGGACCCCCAAACCCGGCCCUGGGACCCCUAUGGGGACCCCUAUGGGGAUGGCGACCCCCAGAGUGAUCCCGGGGACCCCCUAACCCGGCCCUGGGACCCCUAUGGGGAUGGCGACCCCCAGAGUGAGCCCGGGGACCCCCAAACCCGGCCCUGGGACCCCUAUGGGGACCCCUACAGUGAUGAGGACCCCCAAGAUGACCCCAUAGGAGACCCCCAUAGGGCCCCCGACCCCAAGGCCGAACUCUGGGACCCCCCGAGGGACCCCCAUGGACUCAGCCCCUCCCCCAGCCCCCAUGGGAACCCCCAAACCUCCUCCUUCACCCCCCUGGCUUCCCCCCCAGUUGCCCCUCCGGAAUCCCAGUUGCCCCCAGUUACCCCAGUAACUGCCCCCUCCAACCCCAGAGCCCCCCAGUUUGUCCCAGUUACCCUCCCAGUUACCCCUCCCAGAACCCAGGACCUCCCAGUUGCCCCCCAGUUUGUCCCAGUUACCCCUCCCAGAACCCAGGACCUCCCAGUUGCCCCCCAAGUUGUCCCAGUUACCCCCCCCAAAGCCAAGGACACCCCAGUUUCCCUCCCAGUUCUCCCAGUUACUCCCCCAGUUACCCUCCCCAGAGUCAAGGACCCCCCAACAACCCCCCCAACUGCCCCCCCUAAAUCCCUGUUACCCCCAGUUACCUCCCCUAAAUCCCAGUUACCCCCAGUUACCCCUCCAGUUACCCCCCCACAGGCCAAGGACCCCCCAGUUAUCCCAGUUACCCCCCCAGCUCCCCCCCCCAGAGUCGGGGACCCCCCAGUUGCCCCAGUGACCCCCCCAGUGACCCCCCCAGUAGCCCCCCCAGUUGCCCCAGUUGCCCCCAGGGCCCCUCCCAGUACCGGGUCGCUGCGGGUCGGGCUGGGCUUGGCGCUGCCGGUGGCACUGGGAGGGGCACUGGUGAUACUGGGAGCACUGGGAGGACUGGGAAGACCCCCCCGACCGACCCCCCCGAGCCCCCAGGGCUGAGGGUGCUGCGGUGGGGGGGCAAACUGGGAGGGACCCCCCAAACUGGGAAAGGAACCCCCAAACUGGGAUUUUUAACCCCAAACUGGGAAUUUUAACCCCAAACUGGGAUCGUUCACCCCAAACUGGGAAUUUUAACCCCAAACUGGGAAUUUUAACCCCAAACUGGGACUGCCCCCCCUCCCCCAGUCCCGCCCUGCCCCCCGGGUGGGGGAGGGGCCGGGGGGGGGCUGAGGGCAAUAAAGGGUCGGUGCUGCCCCUCCCCCACCCCGCGCUGAGUCCCGUUGUUUUUUUGGGGGGGGAGAGGGGCGGGCAGGGCCGGCUCCCCUCCCCCUCCCCCUGCCCGUGCCCCUCCCCCUCCCGCUCCAGCUGUUGAGCGGAUCCAGCUGUGGGUGGGGGAGGGCGCGGCCCCUGAG